CUUUAGUUUAGUUUGGAACACAUGCAGUCACGUCAGGCAUAUAUAUAUAUAAUCAUUAAAAAGGCAUAUAUAUAUAUACACACACACUGUGCAUGUUACUGAUACACUUCAAAUUUACUAAUUAAUUAAAACAAAUUAAUCAUGACGAUGAUUUGAUAUGUACAGAUUGAUAUAUAUUCUCCAAUACAUUCAUGCACAGAAUAUUAAUUUCCUAGAACAAAUCUUGGCUUAUAUAUGCUCCAUCAACUUUUCUUUUUAAGUUGCAACUAUUUAUUUUAUUUGUUCUUCAACCUGCAAAUUAUGAUCCCUAUUAAUUCCCUAAAAUGUUCUAUAUAUAUCUCUGUGGUCAUCAAAUGAAUUACUAAAGCUGGGGAUUCUGCGGGGUUCAGGUGUUCAAUCUUUGCCAGCUAAUUUCUUCUGAAUAAAUUGUAAAUGAGACAAGUCUUUUCUUCAUGCUCUUUACCUCCGCCCUGUCCCCAAAAGAAAAAGACCCAAAAAUACAUGCAAGGAUGGCAGAUAUCUCUGUUCUGCUCACUAAUUAAGCUUAUGCUUGGCCAGGCGGUCUUCCGGAAUUUCCAGCUCUCCUGUUUUGAAUUCGGAAAAUUAAAUAUUAAUUCAUGCAUGGUUUUAGGUGAGAUAAUAUAAUUAUUGGUGAUGGGAUAAUACUAAUUGAUUGAUCAGAUUGCUAUAUCUGGAAAACUGCAGUAUUAGUUUUGUAAUUACUGAGGUGCUUAUUAAUUUGUAAUUAUAUAUAAAUCCAAUAAAUAAGAAAAAGGAAGGGACCAUCAAAUGUGAAGAACAAAUUAUAAUCAUGUUUUUAAUUACUCUAAUAA
Molecule: long non-coding RNA, 833 nt
Filed under: Panax ginseng (ginseng)
Lineage: Eukaryota; Viridiplantae; Streptophyta; Magnoliopsida; Apiales; Araliaceae
Description: long non-coding RNA (PGIN_LNC013001)
Source: RNAcentral